Long non-coding RNA from Entelurus aequoreus (snake pipefish), 1458 nucleotides. RefSeq lists it as uncharacterized. Lineage: Eukaryota; Metazoa; Chordata; Actinopteri; Syngnathiformes; Syngnathidae. The record is from RefSeq and is a predicted model, not a curated record. The transcript has 4 exons.
UCAGCCCCGGUGCUAGUCCACCCUGACCCUAACAGUUCUUUUACAUAGGAGGUGGAUGCCUCCGAUUCCGGUAUCGGGGCUGUGCUUUCCCAGCACUCUGGGAAGGACAAUUUGGUGCACCCUUGUGCUUUUUUUUUCAGACGUCUCUCCCCUGCUGAAAGGAAUUAUGACGCGGGGAACCAUGAACUGUUGGCGGUACACGAGGCUCUGGUGGAGUGGAGGCACUGGCUGGAGGGGGCCAAACACCCAUUUUUAGUCCUAACGGAUCACCGCAACUUAAUUCACAUUCGCUCCGCUAAGAGGCUCAACAACCGUCAGGCACGAUGGGCACAAUUUUUUAGUCGUUUUGACUAUACACUGUCUUUCAGACCAGGCUCCCGCAACACGAAGGUGGAUGCCCUCUCUUGCCAAUUCUCGGAAGAAACCUCAGCCCACCCACAGCGGAUCUCAUCAUCCCUCCUGCUCGUAUUAUGGGCGUGGUAACUUGGGAGGUCGAAAGUCUGGUCAGGGAAGCUUUGCGCUCUGACCCGGGUCCGGACGGUGGACCAUCCGACAGACUGUUUGUUCCCAAGGAACUACGCCCUAAGGUAUUGGACUGGGAUCAUUCCAUUGUCUUCGUUUGUCAUCCUGGAGUGCACAGGUGCCUAUCGUUUAUCCGACGGCAUUUUUGGUGGCCAUCCACGGAGGCUGAUACCCGGGAGUUUGUCGCUGCUUGCACCAUCUGCUCCCGCAACAAGGCUACCCAUAGCCCCCCGGCAGGCCUGUUGUGUCCGCUACCCAUCCCCAGCCGACCCUGGUCCCACUUUGCUGUGGACUCCAUUACGGGAUUCCCCAUCUCUCAAGAUUUUUUGCAAGGGAAAUGGGGCCACGGUCAGUCUCACCUCCGGUUACCACCCCCAGAGUAAUGGUCAAGUGGAGAGAGCCAAUCAGUGUGUGGAAACCAUGCUGCGCUGUAUGGCUGCUCACAUCUUGGAGCAAGUACCUUCCCUGGGUGGAGUACGCCUACAACUCCAUGGCCAGCUCUGCAACGGCCCGGGCAGCAAGUGAUGCUGCUUAACAAGGACCUUCAUCUUCCGGCAUCAGCUCAAAAGUUGGCACCACGCUACGUGGGACCAUGUCCCAUAGAGGAUCAUCAACCCGGCCUCCGCUCUGUCAUGACAUGGACUUUCGCGCAGUUUCCUGCGGGAGUUGCUUUCCCGGAAUGCAAACAAACUUGACUGGACAUCGGAUGAAGAACCGCUGUCACGGCGCGGAGUCGAACCCAUGUUUCCUCUGCAGCUGGAGCUGCCGACACCUCCGCUGGCAGCGCACUCAGACACACCCCUGCUCGUGCUGAGCGCAGCACGCCCACACAUCAACAAGCCUGCAGACAAUCUGUAAUCUGCACACCUGGACUUGAUGAGAGGGAGCAGCAAAAAUACCAGCGGACCCGAGAAACCUUUGCCAGAACAUCGCUAA